UUUAGAUUUAACAAUGUGGUAGUGGAUGAGAUGGGAGACAUGCUCUAAGUGUUCAAAAUGAAAAACACCAGAACACAACCGUUAUUUUAUGAAAGAGGCUGGAAAAUGCAAGUGAUAUCUAAGCAGAGUUCUGUGCUCUGACAGUUUCAGUAAUCCCCAAAGAGAGAGGAGCACACCACAGGAACAAGAACAGUAUCUCCAGGUCUACACUUGCCUUUGCCAAUCCGUAGUGAUGGGAGAUCCACUGAAGUCAUCUCAUGAUGUGUGUUGUCGGGCUAUUUAAAGGCUGCUGUUUCACUUCCAAACUUCACUCCCUUCUGACGUCUUCAGUGCUGUUCACUUGGCAACCUUGGCUACUCUUCAGCAGAUAAUUUGUACUCUACAUAAGCAUUUAGAAGAACCCAGAGUUAAACCAAGGAUAAGAGUCAUCGGUAACAUUUAUAGUUACUGAACUCCUCACUAUGUGUCACAAAGUGGGUCAGAGGGUGCAUCUUUCAGGAGAAAAAGAACAUUCUUUUAGUGCUAUUUCUACUUCCACAUUGAUACGACAAUGAUUCCUACAGCUAAAUUAAGGUUUGACCUCAUGUGUCAAAUGAUUUUUGUUUAGUCAAUAGAUUUUUUUCUAAAUGUUAUCCUCUCCAAAAAAAUCAGAAAUUUAGCAUUUAAGUUAUGCAUGAUCACAAGUACAUAUAUAUAUACACACACAUAUAUAUAUGCAAGAACAGCCUUUUCUUGACAAUAAUUCAAUGCGAGAAAAAUUUAGAUAAAUGUAUUGAAUGUACAAAAGUGUAAUAAAACCCCCUUUAGUUUAAUAGAUAAAAGAGCAUUGUGGGGAGUUUUUUCUUUGCAGGGUUGGAGUAUGUGCUCUGCUCAUGGAAACCAGCUGUCAUGCCACUUCCCAGCACUCGGAGGGAACAGAAACUUGUUUCUUCUCUACUGUUAAAGCAAAAGGGUGUGCCCAAGGCAAAGAUUAGAGUGGCUGUGGAUCUGCAGGUGGUUUUACGUAUUUGCGGUGAGGUCAAAGAAACAUCUUUUUUUGCACUUCUUCUUUUCUCCAAAUUGGGCAUUGCCUGAAAUGGACGCAUUCAGCAGCACUGUGGGAUGAGAUAUGUACAAGGCAUCAUUUCCCUCUAAGGCAAAUACCUUCACUGCUGGCAAACCUUCAGAAUUUGCAAGCUCAGCCAGCACCUUUGACCCGGCCACACAGCUGACAGCACAGUUGGCAGUUGGUAGCUUCCAUUUAUCCUAGGUCAGCUCCCGAGGCAUCGGCAUAAAAUGAAAUAAAGAUUUGAGCAGUCACUUCAGAAAUGAAAAUGGGAAUGCCCAAUAGUUUGCUUCAGUUUGCUCAGGCUGAGAACCAUUUAUUAAGCUGGUAAAAUGGGAAAGUCAUACAUGAGAGUACCUGCUCAGGAGAAAGAAAUAGAUUGAUCAGACACAUUAUCUAAAGAUCCAGAAGAGAAAUCCACUGAUUUCUAACAGUCAACCCACUGAUGGCUUGAGAUGUAGUUGAGACUACCACACAUUUCAGUAGGCAGAUAUUGUCACCUUCAUAUCCUCAGUGCCUAGCACUGUGCCUGGUAGUUUGUGCUUAGUCAGUGAAUGUUUGCGCAAUUAAUGAGUAAAGCCCAUAUGUGUAUAUGUUUAUAAUAAUUAUUUUUUCUAGUUCAUGUAACUAACGAAUGAAAUUCCCAAGUCAUUGUUCUAUGAGGAACAGGAUGAGAAAUAAGGAACUAAUAUUUUUCUUCCUACUGUAUGCUAGACAUACCAAAUUUGCAUAGUGAGAAAUGGUCAAAACAAGAUUGAAAGGUAGGUAUGUUUCAUGCUAAAGUCCA
This 1832-nucleotide long non-coding RNA is filed under the name Homo sapiens (human). RNAcentral describes it as "HSALNT0113355". The record is from RNAcentral. Lineage: Eukaryota; Metazoa; Chordata; Mammalia; Primates; Hominidae.